RNAcentral lists this ribosomal RNA (678 nucleotides) under Salmonella enterica subsp. enterica serovar Paratyphi B var. L(+) tartrate +. RNAcentral's name for it is "partial 23S ribosomal RNA". It matches the Rfam family "Bacterial large subunit ribosomal RNA", at positions 568 to 1190 of the family's 2925-position model. Lineage: Bacteria; Pseudomonadati; Pseudomonadota; Gammaproteobacteria; Enterobacterales; Enterobacteriaceae. The record is from RNAcentral.
ACGCAUCCUUUGCUGAGGAUACGGUUAACGGAGCGAAAGCGACGUUCAACCGCAAAAGAAGCAGAGGGGGCUUAGUGGUGGGGUGACUGCGUACCUUUUGUAUAAUGGGUCAGCGACUUAUAUUCUGUAGCAAGGUUAACCGUAUAGGGGAGCCGGAGGGAAACCGAGUCUUAACCGGGCGUUAAGUUGCAGGGUAUAGACCCGAAACCCGGUGAUCUAGCCAUGGGCAGGUUGAAGGUUGGGUAACACUAACUGGAGGACCGAACCGACUAAUGUUGAAAAAUUAGCGGAUGACCUGUGGCUGGGGGUGAAAGGCCAAUCAAACCGGGAGAUAGCUGGUUCUCCCCGAAAGCUAUUUAGGUAGCGCCUCGUGAAUUCAUCUCCGGGGGUAGAGCACUGUUUCGGCUAGGGGGCCAUCCCGGCUUACCAACCCGAUGCAAACUGCGAAUACCGGAGAAUGUUAUCACGGGAGACACACGGCGGGUGCUAACGUCCGUCGUGAAGAGGGAAACAACCCAGACCGCCAGCUAAGGUCCCAAAGUCAUGGUUAAGUGGGAAACGAUGUGGGAAGGCCCAGACAGCCAGGAUGUUGGCUUAGAAGCAGCCAUCAUUUAAAGAAAGCGUAAUAGCUCACUGGUCGAGUCGGCCUGCGCGGAAGAUGUAACGGGGCUAAACCAU